UACGGAGGGUGCAAGCGUUAAUCGGAUUUAUUGGGCGUACAGGGCGCGUAGGCGGCAAGAUAAGUCGGAUGUGAAAUCCCGAAGCUUAACUUCGGAACGGCAUUCGAAACUAUUUUGCUAGAGGAUAGGCGGAGAAAUUGGAAUUCCACAAGUAGCGGUGAAAUGCGUAGAUAUGUGGAGGAACAUCAGUGGCGAAGGCGGAUUUCUAGCUUAUAACUGACGCUGAGGCGCGAAAGCGAGGGGAGCAAACAGG
This 253-nucleotide ribosomal RNA is filed under the name uncultured bacterium. RNAcentral's name for it is "partial 16S ribosomal RNA". It matches the Rfam family "Bacterial small subunit ribosomal RNA", at positions 524 to 776 of the family's 1533-position model. The record is from RNAcentral.